GUAUUUUAUUUUUAUGUAUAUACGUUCUAAACUAUUAUGUGUGUGUAAUAAAAAAGGUUGCCACUGAGCAAACUCAGCAACGAUGCACAGGUGUGUAAGGAAUAAAGAAUAUAGGGGAGUCGAAACUCCCCAUUUUUACAAUUCAAUAAUGAUCCUUCUGCAGGUUCACCUACAGAAA
This 178-nucleotide unclassified non-coding RNA is filed under the name uncultured fungus. Its description in RNAcentral is "sequence contains ITS1". The record is from RNAcentral. Lineage: Eukaryota; Fungi.